This 775-nucleotide ribosomal RNA is filed under the name uncultured Neocallimastigales. RNAcentral describes it as "partial large subunit ribosomal RNA". It matches the Rfam family "Eukaryotic large subunit ribosomal RNA", at positions 26 to 635 of the family's 3401-position model. The record is from RNAcentral. Lineage: Eukaryota; Fungi; Neocallimastigomycota; Neocallimastigomycetes; Neocallimastigales.
CGCAUCUGUGCAUGCAGCAUAUCAAUAAGCGGAGGAAAAGAAACUAACAAGGAUUCCCCUAGUAACGGCGAGUGAAGCGGGAAGAGCUCAAAUUUGAAAUCUUAAAGGGUUUCCCUUUACGAAUUGUAGUUUAAAGAAGUGUUUUCUGUUGAGGUUUUGGUAAAAGUUCUUUGGAAUAGGACAUCAUAGAGGGUGAGAAUCCCGUAUUUGACCUUUACUUUCAACUUUGUGAUACACUUUCAAAGAGUCGGAUUGUUUGGGAAUGCAGUCCAAAAUGGGUGGUAAAUUUCAUCUAAAGCUAAAUAUUGGCGAGAGACCGAUAGCGAACAAGUACCGUGAGGGAAAGAUGAAAAGAACUUUGAAAAGAGAGUUAAACAGUACGUGAAAUUGUCAAAAGGGAAGCGUUUGACACCAGUGUUGUUUUUCUGAAAAUCAAUUAAAGAACUGUUUAUGCUAAGCUGUUUAGACUUUAUCAGCUAAUCUGUUUAGUUUUGAGCUUUUCUUUAAUGCACUUUUCAGUUAACAAGUCAACAUCAAUUUCUUUUGCUGUAAAAAAGCUUGAGGAAGGUGGCUUGAGAUUCGUCUUAAGUGUUUAUAGCCUCUUGCCUAUGCAGUCGGAGAGAUUGAGGUCUGCAGCGUAGAUCCUUCGGGGCUAAAUGCAUUUGUGCUAAGUUAUAGCAUUUUAUAGACAACUUGUUGACUAUGAUUUGUCUUGUAGCUUACUCGCUUAUGUUAUUUUACCUACGCUUAGGAUGUUGAACGCGCACAGAGUCUC